GCCUGGAUAGCUCAGUCGGUAGAGCACGUCCUUGGUAAGGACGAGGUCGUGGGUUCAAUUCCCGCUCCAGGCU
This 73-nucleotide transfer RNA is filed under the name marine sediment metagenome. It matches the Rfam family "tRNA". From Rfam's summary of the family: Transfer RNA (tRNA) molecules are approximately 80 nucleotides in length. Their secondary structure includes four short double-helical elements and three loops (D, anti-codon, and T loops). The record is from RNAcentral. RNAcentral also lists the same sequence under 1 other name.